CACGCAGGCGGUUUGUUAAGUCAGAUGUGAAAUCCCCGGGCUCAACCUGGGAACUGCAUCUGAUACUGGCAAGCUUGAGUCUCGUAGAGGGGGUAGGAAUUCCAGGUGUAGCGGUGAAAUGCGUAGAGAUCUGGAGGAAUACCGGUGGCGAAGGCGGCCCCUGGACGAAGACUGACGCUCAGGUGCGAAAGCGUGGGAGCAAACA
This 205-nucleotide ribosomal RNA is filed under the name uncultured bacterium. RNAcentral's name for it is "partial 16S ribosomal RNA". It matches the Rfam family "Bacterial small subunit ribosomal RNA", at positions 568 to 774 of the family's 1533-position model. The record is from RNAcentral.